This 205-nucleotide unclassified non-coding RNA is filed under the name Hevea brasiliensis (rubber tree). The record is from RNAcentral. Lineage: Eukaryota; Viridiplantae; Streptophyta; Magnoliopsida; Malpighiales; Euphorbiaceae.
UGUAACUGUAAGAAAUCUAAGUGCCUGAAGCUAUAUUGUGAAUGCUUUGCUGCUGGCGUGUACUGCAUUGAGCCAUGUUCAUGUCAAGGCUGCUUCAACAAACCGAUACAUGAAGCUGUGGUUCUUGAGACUCGCAGACAGAUUGAAUCUCGCAAUCCACUUGCAUUUGCUCCAAAAGUAAUUCGCACAACUGAGACUGUUCAGG